RNAcentral lists this transfer RNA (89 nucleotides) under Chloroparvula pacifica. RNAcentral's name for it is "tRNA-Ser". It matches the Rfam family "tRNA". Rfam says of the family: Transfer RNA (tRNA) molecules are approximately 80 nucleotides in length. Their secondary structure includes four short double-helical elements and three loops (D, anti-codon, and T loops). The record is from RNAcentral. Lineage: Eukaryota; Viridiplantae; Chlorophyta; Chloropicophyceae; Chloropicales; Chloropicaceae.
GGAAGAAUGGCUGAGCGGUCGAAAGCGAUAGUUUGCUAAAUUAUUGUACAUAUUUUCGUGUACCACGGGUUCGAAUCCCGUUUCUUCCA